This 376-nucleotide ribosomal RNA is filed under the name uncultured bacterium. RNAcentral's name for it is "bacterial SSU rRNA". It matches the Rfam family "Bacterial small subunit ribosomal RNA", at positions 30 to 408 of the family's 1533-position model. The record is from RNAcentral.
AUUGAACGCUGGCGGCAUGCCUUACACAUGCAAGUCGAACGGCAGCGCGGGGCAACCUGGCGGCGAGUGGCGAACGGGUGAGUAAUAUAUCGGAACGUACCCUGGAGUGGGGGAUAACGUAGCGAAAGUUACGCUAAUACCGCAUACGAUCUAAGGAUGAAAGUGGGGAUUCGCAAGAACCUCAUGCUCCUGGAGCGGCCGAUAUCUGAUUAGCUAGUUGGAGGGUAAAAGCCUACCAAGGCAUCGAUCAGUAGCUGGUCUGAGGGGACGACCAGCCACACUGGGACUGAGACACGGCCCAGACUCCUACGGGAGGCAGCAGUGGGGAAUAUUGCACAAUGGGCGAAAGCCUGAUGCAGCGACGCCGCGUGAGGGA